UUAGUUCUCCCUCCUUCAGGGAAAUGCUUUCCACAUAUCGUCCUCUGCUGUGAUUGGGCUCCACCUCCCUGGGCAGGCAGAUUAUUCUCCAUGACAGGAGAGACAUCUGCAGUACCCCCACUCAACCAGACGUGUCCAGCUUCAUCAGGUCCCGAAAGCACUGAGAUGUGGCUUUUCCCACUGCAUCUGUUUUGAUGCAGAACCUACACAUGGAAGAAAGAAUUUUCCAAUACUCAGUGUACCAGGAAGCUCUUUGAUCUUCUAUCUUGGAAGAUGAUGGAGUCUGAGUCUUAAGAAACACAUUUUUAUGAUGGCAAAGGUCUUUUAUGAGGAUAACAAUGAGUGUUAAGCUGAGGAGUGAUUUUAGGAUGUCAAUUCGGGGAUCUUCCUAACAUAGGGAUGCAACCUGUGUCUCUUGCGUCUCCUGCAUUGGCAGGUGGAUUCUUUACCACUGAGACAACUGGGAAGCCCCAAAGUUGGAAUACCACUGUCUUCAAGGAUAAUCAAGGAGCUGUUAACCAAAGAUGGGAAAUGGACCCUGGAAGGCAAAGCCAUGUCUCCUGCCGUCUCAGCAAGGACCUCGUUCUGUGUUGCGUCCCCGGAUGCUAGCCCCCGGCCAGGCGUAUGGCUUCUUAAGUGACUUCUGAGUGUGCUCCCUGUGUGGCCGUCACAGCAGCAGAACCCAGGUCAGUACUCCCAAGCACUGAGAGAAGACCCAUGGAAGAGACCUGGUGAGUGAUUGGAGUCUUGCCUUGUGGCUUGCUGAAGCUUCUUUGAAUUGUAAUCAAUCAUGCUUCCCAUAUGAGACUAUUAAAAGGUCAUUAGAAUUUUGACUACUAAGUCUGUGGAUGGAUUUUCUUCUCCUGCUGAAGCUGUGCCAGGUAUGA
Cervus elaphus (red deer) is the source of this 887-nucleotide long non-coding RNA. RefSeq lists it as uncharacterized. The record is from RefSeq and is a predicted model, not a curated record. The transcript has 3 exons. Lineage: Eukaryota; Metazoa; Chordata; Mammalia; Artiodactyla; Cervidae.